GAUGAACGCUGGCGGCGUGCCUAAUACAUGCAAGUCGAACGAGGUGCUUUGUAGCAAUACGAAGUAUCCUAGUGGCGAACGGGUGAGUAACGCGUUGGUGACCUACCCCAAAGUGUGGGAUAACAGUCCGAAAGGAUUGCUAAUACCGCAUGUGGUCUCUGGGUUUAGAAACCGGUGACUAAAGGAGCAAUUCGCUUUGGGAGGGACCUGCGUCCCAUCAGCUAGUUGGUGAGGUAACGGCUCACCAAGGCGACGACGGGUAGGGGACCUGAGAGGGUGGCCCCCCACAAUGGAACUGAAACACGGUCCAUACACCUACGGGUGGCAGCAGUAGGGAAUAUUGGUCAAUGGGCGAAAGCCUGAACCAGCAACGCCGCGUGUGCGAUGAAGGCCUUCGGGUCGUAAAGCACUUUUCUGGGAGAUGAGAAUGGACAGUAUCCCAGGAAUAAGUCUCGGCUAACUACGUGCCAGCAGCCGCGGUAAAACGUAGGAGGCGAGCGUUAUCCGGAUUCACUGGGCGUAAAGCGCGUGCAGGUGGCUUGGUAAGUUAGGCGUGAAAUCUCCCGGCUCAACUGGGAGAGGUCGCCUAAUACUACCGGGCUUGAGAGCAGAAGAGGAAGAUGGAAUUCCCGGUGUAGUGUGAAAUGCGUAGAUAUCGGGAGGAACACCAGUGGCGAAGGCGAUCUUCUGGUCUGUUUCUGACACUCAGACGCGACAGCUAGGGUAGUAAACGGGA
This 736-nucleotide ribosomal RNA is filed under the name uncultured Chloroflexus sp. RNAcentral describes it as "bacterial SSU rRNA". It matches the Rfam family "Bacterial small subunit ribosomal RNA", at positions 28 to 777 of the family's 1533-position model. The record is from RNAcentral. Lineage: Bacteria; Bacillati; Chloroflexota; Chloroflexia; Chloroflexales; Chloroflexaceae.